Molecule: ribosomal RNA, 119 nt
Organism: Chrysoperla carnea
Lineage: Eukaryota; Metazoa; Arthropoda; Insecta; Neuroptera; Chrysopidae
Source: RefSeq, a predicted model, not a curated record
GACAACGGCCAUACCAUGUUGAAAAUACUGGUUCUCGUUCGAUCACCGAAGUCAAGCAACAUUGGGCACAGUCAGUACCUGGAUGGGUGACCGCUUGGGAACACUGUGUGCUGUUGUCU